RNAcentral lists this unclassified non-coding RNA (1637 nucleotides) under Bombus terrestris (buff-tailed bumblebee). RNAcentral's name for it is "misc RNA ENSBTSG00005027220.1". The record is from RNAcentral. Lineage: Eukaryota; Metazoa; Arthropoda; Insecta; Hymenoptera; Apidae.
UCUUAUUAUUCUACUAAAUUUAAGAUUUGAUUAUUAGAAAUUGUUGCAUCCUACUUCCAUUAUUCCACUAAAUUUAAAAUUUUAUUAUAACUAUAGAACAACUAUUAAUACUAUUAUUUGACUCAUCAUGUAUCUAAUGAAUUCUUAUACACACCUGCACCAUCAUCGAUGACACACUAGAAAGGAGCGUGCUCAUUAGAGGACGGAAUGAAAACGUACCUCCCUGCCAAAAACGCGAUGCUGCAAUGUUCGCUGUCGUCGCAGCGCGUCUUACAUAACCCUACUCCCCUUACUCCUAGCGCCACCUAGACGACCCUUUGUUGCAAGCCGUAACGCGAUGUUUUUAUGUGCUCGUCGCUCUCCCUCUUUGCUGUGCUCGCACGAGUUUUCUAGGAACGCAAAGUCGAGUGACGUGGCGGUUAAAUUUUCCACCAAGUUACACGGAUAUAUUUACAACGUCAGGACGAGUUCGAACACGGUCGCUUUUUCAUUCUGAGCUCCCUUACACUGAAGAACUUGUUAGACACUCUGAUGGUGCAGAGACCUUGAAUCUAAAGCUAUUCGCCUACGCCUGUGAUAAUUUUGAUCUUGUUUGUCAAUGCCUACGAGUGUUUAACACAAGUCUAACAAAUUUUUAGAAUAAAUUUCCUUAGACAUAUUUGUAAUAGUAAAGAAAUUGUAAUUUAAUUAGAAAAUAUUAUUAGGAAACGCUAAUUCUGAAUGCUGAUAAAUGUCAAUUUCGAGUAGAUUACGAAUAUUCAUGUAUUUAUAGAACAAAUUUUCAAAGUACACAUAUUAUGUAAAAUGUACAAAACAUCCAUUAAAGACGAAACAAAUCUUCAUCUAAAUCCUAUCUCUUUGACUAUUCAUCUCGACACAAAUUUGCAUAAAUAUCUUCCAUUGAGGUAUUAACGUAAUAGCGAAUAUCUCUACAUAAUAUUGUUUUAAUGUUAGGAAAUCCUGAUUUACGAUUGAUAUAAAAACAAUUGUUACUAGACUAACGCAAUCCAUUUCAGGGGAUCGUCAUAAGCGGAUCACAGAGAGAGGAAUUGAGAAUUCAUUAAGAUUUAAUCGGAAUAACGUGAUUCGAUUAUUCCAUUUAUACUAUCAUGAUAUAAUUAUUGAAAUAGUGAAUGUCUAUAUUUGUGCACUGCUGCUUACACUGCAGAUAACAGAAACUACGAUAAUACACACUGUCUAUAUGUUAUAUUAUUUUGAGCCUGCGUUUCCCAGUGCCGCGUUAGGGAGAUAAAAAUUAAUUUAUGCGCGCAUUGAAUGGUAUUUUUCGCACCAAAGUUGUUAUUCUACAAAAGAAUGACAAUUCUUUAGAAUCAUUCAUAUUUUUGAUUAAAUAUUAAGUCAUCCUAAAUAUAUACAAAUACGCAAUAAUUAGAAAUUAAAUUGUUUUCACUGGGGACGUUAAUCAUUAUAAUGGCAGCGAUGAUGUCACGCCAAGCAUUAACGCUGCAAUGAUCUAAUGAACACAUCAGAGGAUAUCAAGUGCGGCUUCUAAUCAUGUUAGCUUCUCGCAAGACUCUUCACUACGCAUUUUACUACAUUGUUCUAUCUGAUUCUUUGCUUCCUAACAAAAUUACGCACUGAAUUUCAGUUCGAAAGAAAUCUUCAAUUGAAGAGUU